GGUUAAAUAGUCAAUCAUGAUUUUAAAUUGCAAAUUUAAAGGUAAUCUUUAGAUUUUUAGCCU
Molecule: transfer RNA, 63 nt
Filed under: Hexagonia terminalis
Lineage: Eukaryota; Metazoa; Arthropoda; Insecta; Coleoptera; Carabidae
Description: tRNA-Cys
Source: RNAcentral